This is a non-coding RNA of Prunus avium (sweet cherry), 569 nucleotides long. Lineage: Eukaryota; Viridiplantae; Streptophyta; Magnoliopsida; Rosales; Rosaceae. The record is from RefSeq and is a predicted model, not a curated record.
CGUUGUGGAGAAAAUCAUAGGAGACGAGCAGAUCGCAAGAGAAUAGCCAAGGGACAGACAGGGGACAUCUCAAUUGGGCACGGAUGUUAUGAGGUAUAAACAUAAAAUUGAUCGCAGACAAGGAGGGAGACAAUGGACCCGAAGCCGACAAUCACGCUCCUUUUCUUAAUCUCUCCGCCACCGUCAUCACAGCCCAAGGAUACGUCCGGCCUCCGCCUCGCAAAGCCCUCCAUUUCCCAUGGAACCCGAAACCCUCUUCUCAUCCCACCAGCAGUUUAGAUUGAAGGCUUUGAUUGGUGAUGCCCUUCAGGAAAUAACCAUCUGCCCCUGCUGCGAGGAAGCUUGGCAAUGCAAAAAUCUCACUGGUCCAGGCCAACUUGAAGAUUGAACCUCUAUAACCAAGAAUAUUUCUCAAGUAUGAUACUACCUGUAGGUAUUCAUAUUGUAUAUUAGGGCCAAAAAAUAUCUAAAUAAAUAUAUAGCAAAUUAAAUUUGUAAAAUUCUAACCUCCUGUCCAUCAUUAACAUCUUCCAAGUCAUCUUAAAUGAGAAUCGCUUGAAAAAAAUUAA